This 31-nucleotide non-coding RNA is filed under the name Rattus norvegicus (Norway rat). The record is from RNAcentral. Lineage: Eukaryota; Metazoa; Chordata; Mammalia; Rodentia; Muridae.
UGGUAUGACUACAUGCCUACUAUUUCCUAAG